RNAcentral lists this ribosomal RNA (2758 nucleotides) under Klebsiella pneumoniae subsp. pneumoniae. Its description in RNAcentral is "bacterial LSU rRNA". It matches the Rfam family "Bacterial large subunit ribosomal RNA". Lineage: Bacteria; Pseudomonadati; Pseudomonadota; Gammaproteobacteria; Enterobacterales; Enterobacteriaceae. The record is from RNAcentral.
CACUAUCGUUAACUGAAUACAUAGGUUAACGAGGCGAACCGGGGGAACUGAAACAUCUAAGUACCCCGAGGAAAAGAAAUCAACCGAGAUUCCCCCAGUAGCGGCGAGCGAACGGGGAGCAGCCCAGAGUCUGAAUCAGCUUGUGUGUUAGUGGAACGGUCUGGAAAGUCCGACGGUACAGGGUGAUAGUCCCGUACACCAAAAUGCACAGGUUGUGAACUCGAAGAGUAGGGCGGGACACGUGGUAUCCUGUCUGAAUAUGGGGGGACCAUCCUCCAAGGCUAAAUACUCCUGACUGACCGAUAGUGAACCAGUACCGUGAGGGAAAGGCGAAAAGAACCCCGGCGAGGGGAGUGAAAAAGAACCUGAAACCGUGUACGUACAAGCAGUGGGAGCACCUUCGGGUGUGACUGCGUACCUUUUGUAUAAUGGGUCAGCGACUUAUAUUCUGUAGCAAGGUUAACCGUAUAGGGGAGCCGCAGGGAAACCGAGUCUUAACUGGGCGUUAAGUUGCAGGGUAUAGACCCGAAACCCGGUGAUCUAGCCAUGGGCAGGUUGAAGGUUGGGUAACACUAACUGGAGGACCGAACCGACUAAUGUUGAAAAAUUAGCGGAUGACUUGUGGCUGGGGGUGAAAGGCCAAUCAAACCGGGAGAUAGCUGGUUCUCCCCGAAAGCUAUUUAGGUAGCGCCUCGUGAAUUCAUCUUCGGGGGUAGAGCACUGUUUCGGCUAGGGGGUCAUCCCGACUUACCAACCCGAUGCAAACUACGAAUACCGAAGAAUGUUAUCACGGGAGACACACGGCGGGUGCUAACGUCCGUCGUGAAGAGGGAAACAACCCAGACCGCCAGCUAAGGUCCCAAAGUCAUGGUUAAGUGGGAAACGAUGUGGGAAGGCACAGACAGCCAGGAUGUUGGCUUAGAAGCAGCCAUCAUUUAAAGAAAGCGUAAUAGCUCACUGGUCGAGUCGGCCUGCGCGGAAGAUGUAACGGGGCUAAACCAUGCACCGAAGCUGCGGCAGCGACACUAUGUGUUGUUGGGUAGGGGAGCGUUCUGUAAGCCUGCGAAGGUGACCUGUGAGGGUUGCUGGAGGUAUCAGAAGUGCGAAUGCUGACAUAAGUAACGAUAAAGCGGGUGAAAAGCCCGCUCGCCGGAAGACCAAGGGUUCCUGUCCAACGUUAAUCGGGGCAGGGUGAGUCGACCCCUAAGGCGAGGCCGAAAGGCGUAGUCGAUGGGAAACAGGUUAAUAUUCCUGUACUUGGUGUUACUGCGAAGGGGGGACGGAGAAGGCUAUGUUAGCCGGGCGACGGUUGUCCCGGUUUAAGCAUGUAGGCUGGUUAUCCAGGCAAAUCCGGAUAAUCAAGGCUGAGGUGUGAUGACGAGGCACUACGGUGCUGAAGUAACAAAUGCCCUGCUUCCAGGAAAAGCCUCUAAGCAUCAGGUAACAUCAAAUCGUACCCCAAACCGACACAGGUGGUCAGGUAGAGAAUACCAAGGCGCUUGAGAGAACUCGGGUGAAGGAACUAGGCAAAAUGGUGCCGUAACUUCGGGAGAAGGCACGCUGGUGUGUAGGUGAAGCCCCUGCGGGUGGAGCUGAGACCAGUCGAAGAUACCAGCUGGCUGCAACUGUUUAUUAAAAACACAGCACUGUGCAAACACGAAAGUGGACGUAUACGGUGUGACGCCUGCCCGGUGCCGGAAGGUUAAUUGAUGGGGUUAUCCGUAAGGAGAAGCUCUUGAUCGAAGCCCCGGUAAACGGCGGCCGUAACUAUAACGGUCCUAAGGUAGCGAAAUUCCUUGUCGGGUAAGUUCCGACCUGCACGAAUGGCGUAAUGAUGGCCAGGCUGUCUCCACCCGAGACUCAGUGAAAUUGAACUCGCUGUGAAGAUGCAGUGUACCCGCGGCAAGACGGAAAGACCCCGUGAACCUUUACUAUAGCUUGACACUGAACAUUGAGCCUUGAUGUGUAGGAUAGGUGGGAGGCUUUGAAGCGUGGACGCCAGUCUGCGUGGAGCCAACCUUGAAAUACCACCCUUUAAUGUUUGAUGUUCUAACGUUGGCCCCUUACCGGGGUUGCGGACAGUGUCUGGUGGGUAGUUUGACUGGGGCGGUCUCCUCCCAAAGCGUAACGGAGGAGCACGAAGGUUAGCUAAUCCUGGUCGGACAUCAGGAGGUUAGUGCAAUGGCAUAAGCUAGCUUGACUGCGAGCGUGACGGCGCGAGCAGGUGCGAAAGCAGGUCAUAGUGAUCCGGUGGUUCUGAAUGGAAGGGCCAUCGCUCAACGGAUAAAAGGUACUCCGGGGAUAACAGGCUGAUACCGCCCAAGAGUUCAUAUCGACGGCGGUGUUUGGCACCUCGAUGUCGGCUCAUCACAUCCUGGGGCUGAAGUAGGUCCCAAGGGUAUGGCUGUUCGCCAUUUAAAGUGGUACGCGAGCUGGGUUUAGAACGUCGUGAGACAGUUCGGUCCCUAUCUGCCGUGGGCGCUGGAGAAUUGAGGGGGGCUGCUCCUAGUACGAGAGGACCGGAGUGGACGCAUCACUGGUGUUCGGGUUGUCAUGCCAAUGGCACUGCCCGGUAGCUAAAUGCGGAAGAGAUAAGUGCUGAAAGCAUCUAAGCACGAAACUUGCCCCGAGAUGAGUUCUCCCUGAGACUUUAAGUCUCCUGAAGGAACGUUGAAGACGACGACGUUGAUAGGCCGGGUGUGUAAGCGCAGCGAUGCGUUGAGCUAACCGGUACUAAUGAACCGUGAGGCUUAACCUU